CACGUAGGGUGCAAGCGUUGUCCGGAAUUAUUGGGCGUAAAGGGCUCGUAGGCGGUCCGUCACGUCGGGAGUGAAAACUCGGGGCUCAACCCCGAGCCUGCUUCCGAUACGGGCGGACUAGAGGUAGGUAGGGGAGAACGGAAUUCCGGGUGUAGCGGUGAAAUGCGUAGAUAUCCGGAGGAACACCGGUGGCGAAGGCGGCUUCCUGGACCGACACUGACGCUGAGGCGCGAAAGCUAGGGGAGCAAACGGG
This 253-nucleotide ribosomal RNA is filed under the name uncultured bacterium. Its description in RNAcentral is "partial 16S ribosomal RNA". It matches the Rfam family "Bacterial small subunit ribosomal RNA", at positions 524 to 776 of the family's 1533-position model. The record is from RNAcentral.